RNAcentral lists this ribosomal RNA (216 nucleotides) under Glomeromycotina sp. RNAcentral's name for it is "partial small subunit ribosomal RNA". The stretch from base 44 to 216 matches the Rfam family "Eukaryotic small subunit ribosomal RNA", at positions 690 to 864 of the family's 1831-position model. Lineage: Eukaryota; Fungi; Glomeromycota. The record is from RNAcentral.
GGGUCAGUAGGUUGGUCGUGCCACCGGUACGUACUGGUCUCACUGAUUCCUCCUUCCUGAAGAACCGUAAUGCCAUUAAUCUGGUGUUGCGGGGAAACAGGACUGUUACUUUGAAAAAAUUAGAGUGUUUAAAGCAAGCUAACGCUUGAAUACAUUAGCAUGGAAUAAUGAAAUAGGACGAUCGAUCCUAUUUUGUUGGCUUCUAGGAUUGACGUA